This 630-nucleotide ribosomal RNA is filed under the name uncultured Bacillota bacterium. Its description in RNAcentral is "bacterial SSU rRNA". It matches the Rfam family "Bacterial small subunit ribosomal RNA", at positions 56 to 665 of the family's 1533-position model. The record is from RNAcentral. Lineage: Bacteria; Bacillati; Bacillota.
UGCAAGUCGAACGCGAAAGUGGAGCAAUCCAUGAGUAGAGUGGCAAACGGGUGAGUAACGCGUGGGUGACCUGCCUUCGAGUGGGGGAUAACGUUCCGAAAGGGACGCUAAUACCGCAUGACAUUCUGCCUUUGAAGAGGCGGCAAUCAAAGCUGGGGAUCGCAAGACCUAGCACUCGAAGAGGGGCCCGCGUCCGAUUAGCUAGUUGGUGAGGUAACGGCUCACCAAGGCGACGAUCGGUAGCCGGCCUGAGAGGGCGGACGGCCACACUGAGACUGAGACACGGCCCAGACUCCUACGGGAGGCAGCAGUGGGGAAUUGUUCGCAAUGGGCGCAAGCCUGACGACGCAACGCCGCGUGGAGGAUGAAGAUCUUCGGGUCGUAAACUCCUUUCGAUCGAGACGAAUUCCUCGGUGAUGAACAAUCAUCGAGGUUGACGGUACCGAGAGAAGAAGCCCCGGCUAACUCCGUGCCAGCAGCCGCGGUAAUACGGGGGGGGCAAGCGUUGUUCGGAAUUACUGGGCGUAAAGGGCUCGUAGGCGGCCAACUAAGUCAGACGUGAAAUCCCUCGGCUUAACCGGGGAACUGCGUCUGAUACUGGAUGGCUUGAGUUUGGGAGAGGGAUGCGGA